This 64-nucleotide transfer RNA is filed under the name Hydroscapha granulum. RNAcentral describes it as "tRNA-Cys". Lineage: Eukaryota; Metazoa; Arthropoda; Insecta; Coleoptera; Hydroscaphidae. The record is from RNAcentral.
GGUUCUGUAGUCAAUUAUGAUUUUAAAUUGCAAAUUUAAAGGUGAGGAAAAUUCUUCAGAGCUU